UGUUACUCAAGCAGGCAGGUCCUGGGUAGAUCCCAGGGAGGUGGGUUGGUGAGGGAUAAAGAGCUCCUGAGCGGUCAGCAGUUGGCUGCAGUUCCCCAGGAAACAGCUUCCGGCAGACACUCAAUCUCCAGUUGUAACAGGUGGUGUGGAGUCCGCUGGCCCAGAAAGUGGGCUGAAGGCCUGGUCCUCCCAAUGAACUUGCUGUAUAAACUUUUCUGUCUAUCAAAUGAGGCAUCUUGGAGGGAGGUCAUCACCUCAGAGGUGGAGAAAUGUCAAGCUAGUUGAACAACAAGCACCAAAGAUUUUGAGGAGUGCAGAGCAAAGAGCCUUGGGCUGAGAGCUUGAGUCCUGACUGUUUCAGUGAGACCAGCAAGUACCUUCUCUCUCCAGCUUCUCCAUUUCCACUUCUGCAAACUCUGGACUCCAAGGACCCAAGAUGGCUGGAAACAAGAUGGCGGAGCACGAAGGCCCUUGCCAGAUGCCAGCACUAUGCCCUUGGACUCCCCAGCCUCCAUAACCA
Long non-coding RNA from Chlorocebus sabaeus (green monkey), 520 nucleotides. RefSeq lists it as uncharacterized. The record is from RefSeq and is a predicted model, not a curated record. NCBI's taxonomy places the organism in Eukaryota, Metazoa, Chordata, Mammalia, Primates, Cercopithecidae.